Acinonyx jubatus (cheetah) is the source of this 1316-nucleotide long non-coding RNA. RefSeq lists it as uncharacterized. The record is from RefSeq and is a predicted model, not a curated record. NCBI's taxonomy places the organism in Eukaryota, Metazoa, Chordata, Mammalia, Carnivora, Felidae. The transcript has 4 exons.
UGGGGGUGGUGGAGCAAUCAGACCUUCUUUUAACGUCUUCACCUGCCAGCGCAACUGGGGAAGUUUCAAGACGGAAGGGAGACAGAAGCGCCCCUGGGGAAGGUGAAGGAGCAGUCUCGUGACUGACAGCAAUGAGUUCUGCAUCCUGAAGCCGCCCAGGCGGGACGUGGAGCUGGCGCCUGGCGGUGGACCCCGCCAGGAGGGACUGAGGCUGGCCCGCUUUCCUGGGGUUUGCAGAGCCACAGGCUGUUUACAAACUGCCUUUUCUGCCCACUGGCUCUCUUAAUGCUCACGACAGCCCAGACAGCAGUCCAACUGAGUGUCUAUUCAACAUCAACUCUGUGCCCAGUAGAGGAGGCAAGGCAUAGAAAACAACUGGAGAUGAAUCAACAGCUGCAUCAGGUUCAGCAGACAUUCAGCUGUAUCUCGCCCUACCCUGGGUGGGGCAGGCAUCCCAUUGGUUCUCGCAGGUUGGAUGUCUACAAGCCUCCAGGGAAUGAACAAAUAACAAAGGAAAUGGCUGACAAAGGGAAAAUUAUGAUGUGAGAAUUUCACUAAAGAAUUUAGCCCACUUUACUCUGUUCGCAAAGGCCCUGGAAUUGGCCCCGAACUGGGGUUUAGGGAAUCUAUCAUUUGUUCCCACGGUGUCCUUAUUAGCCAGGCAACCUGGGCAGAGUUUAAACCUCAAGGAUCUUCCUGUUCUCAUCUGUCAAAUUGGGCUAAUGAUGUCAAUCCACCCCACGAGUCUCUCUACUGUCGGUGUCCCAGGUAAGGAAAGGAUUGUAUGAGUCAUGGAAAGUAAGGUUACACUUGUUCCCUGCUGAAAGUCACAUGCUCACCUCCAGGUCCUGCCCCCACAUAGGGCAGAGUUAGAAUGCAGCAGGAUUGCUCUGGACUUCUCCGGGGGGAGAAGGGACUCAGGGCUCCUUCACUCCCAAGAGCAAGCUGCCACUGCCCUCUAGUGACAGCAUUCUGUCCAGACCAGGUGCCUGUGUCCACCCCUCUGGCUAAUGGGGGAAAACAGAUCUUUUUCUUGACAGGACUCUUUCUGACCAACCUUUUCUCAAAAAAGCCGUGCCUCAAAAUUCUCCAUAUUCUUGCUCUGUGUGGUGAUUGCUGUUCUUAUCUAUCAUAUUCUAAGAACUAGCAAGUAUUUUUCAAGUGUCUGCUAUGGGGGGUGGGCAAUGUGCCAGGCACUGAAGUGACAGUCCUCCCCUCCUCCCACCUCCCUCUGCUGCCCAUUGUCCCUUAGGAGGGGGACAUCUCAGACCAGUCGUCUUCAGGAUGUCAGCCUUCUGGAAACUUUCCAGAGAUAA